This 1625-nucleotide ribosomal RNA is filed under the name uncultured fungus. Its description in RNAcentral is "bacterial SSU rRNA". The stretch from base 929 to 1625 matches the Rfam family "Eukaryotic large subunit ribosomal RNA", at positions 1 to 611 of the family's 3401-position model. Lineage: Eukaryota; Fungi. The record is from RNAcentral.
GGGCCGCACGCGCGCUACACUGAUGAAGUCAACGAGUUUAUAACCUUGGCCGGAAGGUCUGGGUAAUCUUUUGAAACUUCAUCGUGCUGGGGAUAGAGCAUUGCAAUUAUUGCUCUUGAACGAGGAAUUCCUAGUAAGCGUGAGUCAUCAGCUCGCGUUGAUUACGUCCCUGCCCUUUGUACACACCGCCCGUCGCUACUACCGAUUGAAUGGCUUAGUGAGUCCUUUGGAUUGAUGAACGUAGAGUGGCAACACUCUUGGUUUCAAUGAGAAGUUGGGCAAACUUGGUCAUUUAGAGGAAGUAAAAGUCGUAACAAGGUUUCCGUAGGUGAACCUGCGGAAGGAUCAUUAAAGUAUGAUAUUUGAAUUCUCUUUGGGAGUUCAAAACCAUCUGAUAUUGUGAUAUUAUUGAAAAAUUAAAUUUGGAUUUAAAGAUGAUAUUUUCUUUGUUUAAAAACAAAUGUUUGAAGACAAAGAAAGUAUCGAUCCAAUAUUUUGAUCAACUCUCUUAUUAUUUUGACUGAAUUUAAUCAAGUUUUAAUCCAAUUUGGAUUAAAAAAAAAAGUUUUAAAUAACUUUCAACAACGGAUCUCUUGGUUCUCGCAUCGAUGAAGAACGCAGCGAAAUGCGAUACGUAAUGUGAAUUGCAGAUUGUGAAUCAUCGAAUCUUUGAACGCAUAUUGCACUCUUUGGUAUUCCGAGGAGUAUGCUUGUUUCAGUAUCAUGAAAAUCUCACUAAUGAAACUUUUUUGUUUCAUACAGGUGGACUUGGAUUUGCGAUUGUUACAAUUGCUAAUCUAAAAUGAAUUUCAUGAAGCUUAAAUAUGCUUUGAAUCUUUUGCUUAAUAGUUUUGCUUUGUCAAAUCUUUUGCAAUUAGAUUCAAAUCCAAAAAGUGGAUUGAUUUUACGAAAUCAUACCUUCAUUUUUUGAUCUGAAAUCAAGUAGGAUUACCCGCUGAACUUAAGCAUAUCAAUAAGCGGAGGAAAAGAAACUAACAAGGAUUCCCUCAGUAACGGCGAGUGAAGCGGGAAGAGCUCAAAUUUAAAAUCUGGCGUAAGCCCGAGUUGUAGUCUAUAGAAGUGUUUUCCUUUGAGUACCGAGAUACAAGUCUUCUGGAAAGAAGCAUCAUAGAGGGUGAGAAUCCCGUCCAUGAUCUCGAGUGGCUUGAUUUUGUGAUACACUUUCUAAGAGUCAGGUUGUUUGGGAAUGCAGCCUAAAAUGGGUGGUAAAUUUCAUCUAAAGCUAAAUAUUGGCGAGAGACCGAUAGCGAACAAGUACCGUGAGGGAAAGAUGAAAAGAACUUUGAAAAGAGAGUUAAACAGUACGUGAAAUUGUUGAAAGGGAACCGUUUGAAACCAGUCAGCUGGCUUGUAAUCAAUCUAUCCAUUGGAUGGAUGCACUUGCAAGUUUGCUUGUCAAUGUCAGUUUGGUGAGUUGGAAAAAGACCUUUGAAAUGUGGCUAUCUUCGGGUAGUGUUAUAGUCAUGGGUGAAAUACAACUUACUGGACUGAGGAAUGCAGUUGAAAUGUCGGCCUUGUGGUGUUUAGUGUGAAGGUUGGAUAGACAAUUUAUUGACUAUGCUUCUGGAGUGCUAAUAGCCAUUUUGGCUCCUGAUCAGCUUAGG